RNAcentral lists this ribosomal RNA (498 nucleotides) under uncultured bacterium. RNAcentral's name for it is "partial 16S ribosomal RNA". It matches the Rfam family "Bacterial small subunit ribosomal RNA", at positions 28 to 523 of the family's 1533-position model. The record is from RNAcentral.
GACGAACGCUGGCGGCGUGCCUAACACAUGCAAGUCGAGCGGAGUUGACAAGAGGAAGUUUUCGGAUGGAAUCUUGCCAGCUUAGCGGCGGACGGGUGAGUAACGCGUGAGCGACCAACCUUGCACAGGGGGAUAACGGACCGAAAGGUUCACUAAUACCGCAUGAGACCACGGUGUUGCAUGACACAGGGGUCAAAGGAGGAAUCCGGGGCAAGACGGGCUCGCGUCCGAUUAGGUAGUUGGAGGGGUAACGGCCCACCAAGCCUAUGAUCGGUAGCCGACCUGAGAGGGUGAUCGGCCACAUUGGAACUGAGAUACGGUCCAAACUCCUACGGGAGGCAGCAGUGGGGAAUAUUGGGCAAUGGGGGAAACCCUGACCCAGCAACGCCGCGUGAAGGAAGAAGGUUUUCGGAUUGUAAACUUCUGUCCUUGGUGAAGAGAAGAAGACGGUAGCCAAGGAGGAAGCCCCGGCUAACUACGUGCCAGCAGCCGCAGUAA